GGGCAGGUACCAGAGCGGUCAAAUGGAGCAGACUGUAAAUCUGCUGGCUUCGCCUUCGGAGGUUCGAAUCCUUCCCUGCCCAC
Molecule: transfer RNA, 83 nt
Filed under: Chlorobiota bacterium
Lineage: Bacteria; Pseudomonadati; Chlorobiota
Description: tRNA-Tyr
Rfam family: tRNA
About the family: Transfer RNA (tRNA) molecules are approximately 80 nucleotides in length. Their secondary structure includes four short double-helical elements and three loops (D, anti-codon, and T loops).
Source: RNAcentral